Molecule: ribosomal RNA, 245 nt
Filed under: uncultured bacterium
Lineage: Bacteria
Description: partial 16S ribosomal RNA
Rfam family: Bacterial small subunit ribosomal RNA
Source: RNAcentral
UACAGAGACGGCAAGCGUUGUUCGGAUUCAUUGGGCGUAAAGGGUGCGCAGGCGGUCCAGCAAGUCGGAUGUGAAAUUUCCGAGCCUAACUCGGAACGGUCAUUCGAAACUGCUGGACUCGAGGACUGGAGAGGAGGCUGGAAUUGUCGGUGUAGCGGUGAAAUGCGUAGAUAUCGACAAGAACACCGGUGGCGAAGGCGGGUCUCUGGACAGUUCCUGACGCUCAGGCACGAAAGCCAGGGGAG